RNAcentral lists this ribosomal RNA (370 nucleotides) under uncultured Prevotella sp. RNAcentral's name for it is "bacterial SSU rRNA". It matches the Rfam family "Bacterial small subunit ribosomal RNA", at positions 428 to 796 of the family's 1533-position model. The record is from RNAcentral. Lineage: Bacteria; Pseudomonadati; Bacteroidota; Bacteroidia; Bacteroidales; Prevotellaceae.
AACUGCUUUUAUGUGGGGAUAAAGUGAGCUACGUGUAGUUUAUUGCAGGUACCACAUGAAUAAGGACCGGCUAAUUCCGUGCCAGCAGCCGCGGUAAUACGGAAGGUCCGGGCGUUAUCCGGAUUUAUUGGGUUUAAAGGGAGCGUAGGCCGUGGAUUAAGCGUGUUGUGAAAUGCAGACGCUCAACGUCCGAAUUGCAGCGCGAACUGGUUCACUUGAGUAUGCGCAACGUAGGCGGAAUUCGUCGUGUAGCGGUGAAAUGCUUAGAUAUGACGAAGAACUCCGAUUGCGAAGGCAGCUUACGGGAGCACAACUGACGCUGAAGCUCGAAGGUGCGGGUAUCAAACAGGAUUAGAUACCCUGGUAGUCC